CGGGUGAGUAACGCGUGGGCAACCUACCGUAUACAGGGGAUAACACUUAGAAAUAGGUGCUAAUACCGCAUAAGCGCACAGCAGUGCAUACUGGAGUGUGAAAAGCCGAGACGGUAUACGAUGGGCCCGCGUCUGAUUAGCCAGUUGGCAGGGUAACGGCCUACCAAAGCGACGAUCAGUAGCCGGCCUGAGAGGGCGGACGGCCACAUUGGGACUGAGACACGGCCCAGACUCCUACGGGAGGCAGCAG
RNAcentral lists this ribosomal RNA (250 nucleotides) under uncultured bacterium. RNAcentral describes it as "partial 16S ribosomal RNA". It matches the Rfam family "Bacterial small subunit ribosomal RNA", at positions 103 to 354 of the family's 1533-position model. The record is from RNAcentral.